Molecule: ribosomal RNA, 484 nt
Filed under: uncultured bacterium
Lineage: Bacteria
Description: partial 16S ribosomal RNA
Rfam family: Bacterial small subunit ribosomal RNA
Source: RNAcentral
AUUGAACGCUGGCGGCAGGCCUAACACAUGCAAGUCGAGCGGAUGAAGGGAGCUUGCUCCUGGAUUCAGCGGCGGACGGGUGAGUAAUGCCUAGGAAUCUGCCUGGUAGUGGGGGAUAACGUCCGGAAACGGGCGCUAAUACCGCAUACGUCCUGAGGGAGAAAGUGGGGGAUCUUCGGACCUCACGCUAUCAGAUGAGCCUAGGUCGGAUUAGCUAGUUGGUGGGGUAAAGGCCUACCAAGGCGACGAUCCGUAACUGGUCUGAGAGGAUGAUCAGUCACAAUGGGAAUGAGACAACGUUCCGGCGCCUAAGGGAGGCAGCAGUUGGGAAAAAUGGAACAUGGGCGGAAGCCUUGUCCAGGCAUGGCGGGUGUGUGAAGGAGGUCCUCGGAUUGGAAAGCACUUUAAGUUGGGAGGAAGGGCAGUAAGUUAAUACCUUGCUGUUUUGACGUUACCAACAGAAUAAGCACCGGCUAACUUCGUG